This 496-nucleotide ribosomal RNA is filed under the name uncultured bacterium. RNAcentral describes it as "partial 16S ribosomal RNA". It matches the Rfam family "Bacterial small subunit ribosomal RNA", at positions 28 to 507 of the family's 1533-position model. The record is from RNAcentral.
GAUGAACGCUGGCGGCGUGCCUAAUACAUGCAAGUAGAACGCUGAAGGAGGAGCUUGCUCUUUCCGGAUGAGUUGCGAACGGGUGAGUAACGCGUAGGUAACCUGCCUGGUAGCGGGGGAUAACUAUUGGAAACGAUAGCUAAUACCGCAUAACAGUAGAUAUUGCAUGAUAUUUGCUUGAAAGGGGCAAUUGCUCCACUACCAGAUGGACCUGCGUUGUAUUAGCUAGUUGGUGAGGUAACGGCUCACCAAGGCGACGAUACAUAGCCGACCUGAGAGGGUGAUCGGCCACACUGGGACUGAGACACGGCCCAGACUCCUACGGGAGGCAGCAGUAGGGAAUCUUCGGCAAAGGACGGAAGUCUGACCGAGCAACGCCGCGUGAGUGAAGAAGGUUUUCGGAUCGUAAAGCUCUGUUGUAAGAGAAGAACGAGUGUGAGAGUGGAAAGUUCACACUGUGACGGUAUCUUACCAGAAAGGGACGGCUAACUACGUG